RNAcentral lists this ribosomal RNA (858 nucleotides) under Leptosphaeria cirsii. Its description in RNAcentral is "eukaryotic LSU rRNA". It matches the Rfam family "Eukaryotic large subunit ribosomal RNA", at positions 68 to 944 of the family's 3401-position model. Lineage: Eukaryota; Fungi; Ascomycota; Dothideomycetes; Pleosporales; Leptosphaeriaceae. The record is from RNAcentral.
ACAGGGAUUGCCCUAGUAACGGCGAGUGAAGCGGCAACAGCUCAAAUUUGAAAUCUGGCUCUUUUAGAGUCCGAGUUGUAAUUUGCAGAGGGCGCUUUGGCGUUGGCAGCGGUCCAAGUUCCUUGGAACAGGACGUCACAGAGGGUGAGAAUCCCGUACGUGGUCGCUGGCCUUCGCCGUGUAAAGCCUCUUCGACGAGUCGAGUUGUUUGGGAAUGCAGCUCUAAAUGGGAGGUAAAUUUCUUCUAAAGCUAAAUACUGGCCAGAGACCGAUAGCGCACAAGUAGAGUGAUCGAAAGAUGAAAAGUACUUUGGAAAGAGAGUCAAAUAGCACGUGAAAUUGUUAAAAGGGAAGCGCUUGCAGCCAGACUUGCCUGUAGUUGCUCAUCUAGGCUUUUGCCUGGUGCACUCUUCUAUAGGCAGGCCAGCAUCAGUUUGGGCGGUUGGAUAAAGUUCUCGAUCAUGUACCUCCUCUCGGGGAGGCCUUAUAGGGGAGAUGACAUACAACCAGCCUGGACUGAGGUCCGCGCAUUCGCUAGGAUGCUGGCGUAAUGGCUGUAAGCGGCCCGUCUUGAAACACGGACCAAGGAGUCUAACAUCUAUGCGAGUGUUUGGGUGUCAAGCCCGAACGCGCAAUGAAAGUGAACGGAGGUGGGAACCCUUAAGGGUGCACCAUCGACCGAUCCUGAUGUCUUCGGAAGGAUUUGAGUAAGAGCAUAGCUGUUGGGACCCGAAAGAUGGUGAACUAUGCUUGAAUAGGGUGAAGCCAGAGGAAACUCUGGUGGAGGCUCGCAGCGGUUCUGACGUGCAAAUCGAUCGUCAAAUUUGGGCAUAGGGGCGAAAGACUAAUCGAGCUUCC